This 737-nucleotide ribosomal RNA is filed under the name uncultured bacterium. Its description in RNAcentral is "bacterial SSU rRNA". It matches the Rfam family "Bacterial small subunit ribosomal RNA", at positions 755 to 1492 of the family's 1533-position model. The record is from RNAcentral.
GAAAGCGUGGGGAGCGAACAGGAUUAGAUACCCUGGUAGUCCACGCCGUAAACGGUGGGCGCUAGUUGUGGGAACCUUCCACGGUUUCUGCGACGCAGCUAACGCAUUAAGCGCCCCGCCUGGGGAGUACGAUCGCAAGAUUAAAACUCAAAGGAAUUGACGGGGCCCCGCACAAGCAGCGGAGCAUGCGGCUUAAUUCGACGCAACGCGAAGAACCUUACCAAGGCUUGACAUAUACAGGAAUAUGGCAGAGAUGUCAUAGCGGUAAAACGUCUGUAUACAGGUGGUGCAUGGUUGUCGUCAGCUCGUGUCGUGAGAUGUUGGGUUAAGUCCCGCAACGAGCGCAGCCCUCGUUCUGUGUUGCCAGCAUUUAGUUGGGGACUCACAGGAGACUGCCGGGGUUAACUCGGAGGAAGGUGGGGAUGACGUCAAAUCAUCAUGCCCCUUAUGUCUUGGGCUGCACGCAUGCUACAAUGGCUGGUACAAAGGGCUGCAAUACUGCAAAGUGGAGCGAAUCCCAAAAAGCCAGUCUCAGUUCGGAUUGGGGUCUGCAACUCGACCCCAUGAAGUCGGAGUUGCUAGUAAUCGUAGAUCAGCAACGCUACGGUGAAUACGUUCCCGGGGCUUGUACACACCGCCCGUCACAUCACGAAAGUCGGUAACACCCAAAGUCAGUGGCCCAACCGCAAGGAGGGAGCUGCCAAAGGUGGGAUCGGUGAUUGGGAUGAAGUCGUAAC